Molecule: transfer RNA, 73 nt
Filed under: Trichonephila clavata
Lineage: Eukaryota; Metazoa; Arthropoda; Arachnida; Araneae; Nephilidae
Rfam family: tRNA
About the family: Transfer RNA (tRNA) molecules are approximately 80 nucleotides in length. Their secondary structure includes four short double-helical elements and three loops (D, anti-codon, and T loops).
Source: Rfam by way of RNAcentral
AUUCCUGUAGCGCAAUGGAUAGUGUGUUGGACUUCUAAUCCAAAGGUUGUGGGUUCGAAUCCCACCUGAGAUG